This 2016-nucleotide long non-coding RNA is filed under the name Sorghum bicolor (sorghum). RNAcentral describes it as "long non-coding RNA (SBIC_LNC014278)". Lineage: Eukaryota; Viridiplantae; Streptophyta; Magnoliopsida; Poales; Poaceae. The record is from RNAcentral.
CCGGAUUAGGAGUAGAAAAUAUUUUUGGGUGGUUCUGGAGAUGGAAAUGGGUGAAUAUAUGUGGAUGGUACUUCCGGAGUAGAAGCAGCAUGUGUGAGUGAACGUGCAAGUGAAUUUGAUUUAACCACAUGACAAACUCCAAAGGGUCUACACAGCUUGACCACACUAAAUGCUCAUAAGCAGUAAAUAGUAAAUGUGUGGCUCAAAGUCUAGCAAGCAUGUAUAUAUUGCUGUGGUAGGAAUUUAAACUCUCAUCAUACAGGAACUCGUCAUGUAACAUUUUAAAGAUUUUCAAAGAUAAAAUUCUCCAGAAUUCUAGCAUCUAUUUUAUUCUAGCUUUAAAUUAUAACAGUUAUGUCUAAACUUGAGAGAAAACUCAAAUUUUAAAAAUUAGGCAGAGCAACUAUUCAUCGUAUCCAUGCUAGAGUUUUAUUAUUAAGAUUCAGAUUAGCAUAGCUACUUUAUUUUUUUAUUAAACAUACUAAGCAAAAGACAUAUAUAUAUAAGCACAAAAUCUUUAUUUGGUUUUUCAUAGUUAUAUAGUAUAAGUAUAAAUAUAGAUAGAAAUACUUAGCGGGGUAAAUGGGGGUGCUCUCCCCCAAGCUGAAUUUUGAUGUAAUUUCUUUUGAUGUAGCUAGCAGGUAGCAGAGGUGUAUUUGAAAGUCGGCAGUAUCUUGACAGCAAUUAGAAUGUCCUCCGUCUGCUAGUCUUCUUGAUUCUUAAAUUAUGUGGAGCUCAAAUAGACAACAAAGCUUUGUGGAACUGAUUAAGUGUUAGCAUAAAUAUCUAGCCUUUAUCAUGUUGAGACUCCUCAAUAAAUGUUACUCCCUAUUUUUAUAUUUUCAUUUUAUAAAGCAGAAAAGAAAUAUUUAUUUUAUUUUUAUACCACCACAGUGAAUGUACUUAUGGGUUUCAUGCCACUCGUAUACUCACAUGGGGCUUACUAUUUUAACAUUUUUUUAUUUUCUUUUUAGGAUAGUAUGAACAUGAUUAACUAAGCAAACUAUUUGAAAUGAUUGAAAGGGAAAGGAUAACUACCAAGUGUACCUCUUGGCAAGGCGUUCGGUGUUUUUAAGUCCUCCGAACAGGACUGUCCGUUUUCUUAGUCGUCCUGGGAUUCGUUGGGUGGCAUAGUCGGUGCUUCCGGCAGCGCCUCCUCUUCAUGUAUAGUCAUCUUCUCUUUCCAUACCUGACUUGGUGCUACAGUCUCCUCAGGAUAGUUCUGUUUAAACUGUAUGUCUUCUGACCUUACCACUUCUCCUUCAUAGUCUGCCCAUCCGUCCUUGAUGAUCUGCCUUCUCUGGUUGCGGUUGCGUCGUUUUCUCACCUACUUAGAGUCUUCAACGAUAUAGUUAGGGUCAGUAAAAUAGCGGCGUACCUUGUCAGAGAGGAAGUGCAUAUGGACUUAUCCAGUUCCAAUGUAGAUGAUUGCUUUAACGGUGCCGAGGAACGGUCUUCCAAGGAUGAUGGGUGGAUCGUAUUCGUCUUCUCCCAUGUCAAUAACCUGAAAGUCUGUGUAGACAAAAUGAUCAUCUAUUUUGACAGGGACAUCAAUUACUGUUCCUUUAACCUCUUGAAACAUCUGAUCUGCCAGCUGGAGCUGAAUGUAUGUUGGUUUUAGGGGCAUGGUUCCGAACAAGAGCCGAUAGGUGACUGCGGCCAUUAUGUUGACGCCCGAUCCGGUGUCACAAGUCGUCUUGUAGAAGUUAUAUCCAUUUAUGGAGCAAAAGAUGCUUGGCAUUCCUGGGUCGUCCUUCUUGGUCAAAAAUGGUGACUUAAGUUGGUGAUCUUGACCUCCAUGAACUGCAGUGACAAUCUUAGCUAACUCGGUCCACACUUGCUUGUUCCUGUUCCUCCUGUUGGUCCUCUUCCUUGGUUCAUGUCAGGGUUGCCCUAGGAUUUGUGUAGUCUUGUUCUUGAAGGAAAAUGUCUCCUUCUUCCCUUUGAUGUAGAACCUGAUCUUGGCAGCACUAGCGUAGAUGACAGCUCCCGAGGUGUUCAAGAAUGGCCUCCCUA